RNAcentral lists this ribosomal RNA (492 nucleotides) under uncultured bacterium. RNAcentral describes it as "partial 16S ribosomal RNA". It matches the Rfam family "Bacterial small subunit ribosomal RNA", at positions 29 to 507 of the family's 1533-position model. The record is from RNAcentral.
AGUGAACGCUGGCGGUAGGCCUAACACAUGCAAGUCGGACGGCAGCACAGUAAGAGCUUGCUCUUACGGGUGGCGAGUGGCGGACGGGUGAGGAAUACAUCGGAAUCUACUUUUUCGUGGGGGGUAACGUAGGGAAACUUACGCUAAUACCGCAUACGACCUACGGGUGAAAGCAGGGGAUCUUCGGACCUUGCGCGAUUGAAUGAGCCGAUGUCGGAUUAGCUAGUUGGCGGGGUAAAGGCCCACCAAGGCGACGAUCCGUAGCUGGUCUGAGAGGAUGAUCGGCCACACUGGAACUGAGACACGGUCCAGACUCCUACGGGAGGCAGCAGUGGGGAAUAUUGGACAAUAGGCGCAAGCCUGAUCCAGCCAUACCGCGUGGGUGAAGAAGGCCUUCGGGUUGUAAAGCCCUUUUGUUGGGAAAGAAAAGCAGCAGGUUAAGACCCCGCUAUUCUGACGGUACCCAAUGAAUAAGCACCGGCUAACUUCGUG